Long non-coding RNA from Chenopodium quinoa (quinoa), 1833 nucleotides. RefSeq lists it as uncharacterized. The record is from RefSeq and is a predicted model, not a curated record. NCBI's taxonomy places the organism in Eukaryota, Viridiplantae, Streptophyta, Magnoliopsida, Caryophyllales, Amaranthaceae. The transcript has 2 exons.
UGUUAUGAUCUUUAUUAGAUUAGUUAUUUACCUUUUAAGGCAAUGCAUUGGAUGCUCAAGUGAGCAAUAUGACUCAAUAACUAUUUCUUUGCUCGUAUCGUGGUGUUGUUCUAAUUCUUCGUAGCAUGCUGAUUUUUUUAUUUCUUUGCAUUUGUUGGCAGAUUGUUGUUGGGAGCCAUUAGGCAAAGAAGAGUGCAAUCAAUGGUACAACGAGGUAAAGUCAUGCUCAGGACAUCUCUAGAGUGCCAAGAUGCUUCUCUGGCACGUUAUGGAUUUGGGAAGGCAUGACCAAUCGUUUUGUGUAAGGCUAAGUCACUUCCUCUAGCAAUCAGGUAAGUAUACUGAUAAAAGGCUUAGAUUUUGUAUGAGCAACAUCAACCUUGAAUUUAGCAAAGAGAGAGAAACAAGAUAAUGAGGUGGCAGCUGCACAACAAAGAUAGCAGCACCAAGGUGGCAGCAAUAGACCCUGGUUGGUAACGGUAGUGUAUAAAGGCGGCAACAGCAACAUCUAAACUAGAGGUGAGAGGAUGGUGCAAAAGAUUUGAGGUCUGGGGUUUUCAUUAAUUCACAAAUGUAUGCUUUUUGGGUGGAAACAAUUGAUUGGUUUUGUUGGGUUUUCUUGUGAAGACAAGUAGAUAAUCCAUUUCAGGGUUUUAGUUUAGGAUAGCUUAAAAUGUUGUUAAAUAGGUUCUUGCAUUUGAUGUAACUUAGAUGGAUAUUAUGAGAGUUUAAGAUUAAUCUUAAUUUUUGGCUAUGUUCUUCCAUUUGUAUUAAUAUUACAUAUCACGUUACGUAGAGUUCUUACAAGUUAUCUCGAUAUUUGUUCACUUUAGAGACUUGUAAGUUAUGAAGCCAUUAAAAAGGAGCAAAAAGAAAAGGGGGAGAGAAGAGGGUUGGGAAUCAAAGAAAAGAAAAAGAAUACUUUUUAGAGUGUAAUUGAGUAAGGAGAUGAUAGUGCUUUUUAAAAACUUCCUAAAAUGGUUAAAAUCAUAAAAGACGAGUGAAAGACCGAUAAAGCUAAAGGGAAAGGAAAAAAAUAGACAUAGCAAGAUAGGGGGAGUAGGUUUCAACAACUAGAUUUGGACAAGCUUCUUUUAAUAAUCAAUAAAUUAUUAAUUAAUCUAUGAGAUUUUGUGACAAUUGAGGCAUUCAACUGAUUAGAAUGAACUUUAGAAUAAAUUAUUCAACAUUAUGAUAAAACUGUGUUAGAUUCAUGGGUAAAUGCUUUUUAUGUUUGUACAACCAUAGUUAUAGAUAACUUUGGAAAGAUAGAGGGUAAGAGGUAGAAAGGGGGAGAAGGAGUGGGGGAGGUUCGAGAGAGGAGAGAAAGAGAUACAGAGAGUAAGAAAUAAGAGGUGAGGGAGAGAAAAAAGAGGGGGGAUGGGAAAGGAAUAGAGGGGCCGAGAAAGAAAAGGGCUAGGAGAGAGAGAAAAAAAAGUCGAGAGAGGAAAAUAGGGCAGGAGAGGGAAAAGAAGAUAUAUAGAUAAAUAGAUAGAGAAGGCAAUGCCGAGAGAAAAGAGAGACGAAGGGGGUGUUGAGAGACGAAGGUGUUAGGAAAGAGAGGGAAGGUAAGGCUGAGAGAGAGAGAGAGAGGUGGGGAGGGGGGGGGGAAGGGGCUGAGAGAGAAAGGUGCUAUGAAAGAGAGAGAUUGCGGGCUAAAAGAGAAAGAGAGAAAAGCCAAGCCAUGAGCUAAGAGUAAAGGGCAUGUCAGGGGGUAGACAGAGAAGGGCUGGGAUAGAGAAGCCAAGAGAUGGGAAAGAGGAAACAUAUAUAAUUACCGUGUAACGGAAACACCACAAUUUUUCCUUUUACAAAAAAAAAAAAAAAAAAAAA